UACAGAGGGUGCGAGCGUUAAUCGGAAUUACUGGGCGUAAAGGGCGCGUAGGCGGUGAUAUAAGCUAGGUGUGAAAUCCCUGGGCUCAACCCAGGAACGUCACCUAUGACUGUAUGGCUAGAGUACUGUAGAGGGCAGUGGAAUUUCCGGUGUAGCGGUGAAAUGCGUAGAGAUCGGAAGGAACACCAGUGGCGAAGGCGACUGCCUGGACAGAUACUGACGCUGUGGCGCGAGAGCGUGGGUAGCAAACAGG
This 253-nucleotide ribosomal RNA is filed under the name uncultured bacterium. Its description in RNAcentral is "partial 16S ribosomal RNA". It matches the Rfam family "Bacterial small subunit ribosomal RNA", at positions 524 to 776 of the family's 1533-position model. The record is from RNAcentral.